Molecule: ribosomal RNA, 421 nt
Filed under: uncultured bacterium
Lineage: Bacteria
Description: partial 16S ribosomal RNA
Rfam family: Bacterial small subunit ribosomal RNA
Source: RNAcentral
AAUAUUGGACAAUGAGGGAAACUCUGAUCUAGCCAUGCAGUGUGUGUGAAGAAGGUCUUCGGUUUGUUAAGCACUUUAAGUUGGGCGGAAGGGUUGUUGGCUAAUAUCCCGUAAUUUAGACGUUACCGACAGAAUAAGCACCGGCUAACUCUGUGCCAGCAGCCGCGGUAAUACAGAGGGUGCAAGCGUUAAUCGGAAUUACUGGGCGUAAAGCGCGCGUAGGUGGUUCAGUAAGAUGGGUGUGAAAUCCCCGGGCUUAACCUGGGAACUGCUUUCAUAACUGCUGAGCUAGAGUACGGUAGAGGGUAGUGGAAUUUCCUGUGUAGCGGUGAAAUGCGUAGAUAUAGGAAGGAACACCAGUGGCGAAGGCGACUACCUGGACUGAUACUGACACUGAGGUGCGAAAGCGUGGGGAGCAAAC